Molecule: ribosomal RNA, 1216 nt
Filed under: metagenome
Description: bacterial SSU rRNA
Rfam family: Bacterial small subunit ribosomal RNA
Source: RNAcentral
AGAGUUUGAUUCUGGCUCAGAACGAACGCUGGCAGCGCGGAUGAGGCAUGCAAGUCGAACGGGAUCCGGAGAGUAGCAAUACAAUCCGGUGAGAGUGGCGUAAGGGUGAGGAACACGUGGGCAACCUGUCCUGAAGUUGGGGAUAACCUGCCGAAAGGCGGGCUAAUACCGAAUGUGGUUGUCCCGGGCAUCCGGGACGGACUGAAGGUGGGGACUCUUCGGAACCUAUCGCUUCAGGAGGGGCCCGCGUCCCAUCAGCUAGUUGGUGAGGUAACGGCCCACCAAGGCUUACGGGUAGCUGGUCUGAGAGGAUGGUCAGCCACACUGGGACUGAGACACUGCCCAGACUCCUACGGGAGGCUGCAGUCGAGGAUCAUUUGCAAUGGGCGAAAGCCUGACAGUGCGACGCUGCGUGGAGGAUGAAGGCCUUCGGGUUGUAAACUCCUGUCAUUCGGGAACAAGAGCGGGAGGGUGAAUAAUCCUUCCGAUUGAUGGUACCGGAAGAGGAAGCCACGGCUAACUCUGUGCCAGCAGCCGCGGUAAUACAGAGGUGGCGAGCGUUGUUCGGAUUUACUGGGCGUAAAGGGUGCGUAGGUGGUUCUGUGUGUCGGAUGUGAAAUCCCACUGCUUAACGGUGGAACUGCAUUCGAAACUGCAGGGCUAGAGUGCAGGAGAGGAGAGCGGAAUUCUUGGUGUAGCGGUGAAAUGCGUUGAUAUCAAGAAGAACACCGGUGGCGAAGGCGGCUCUCUGGAAUGUAACUGACACUGAGGCACGAAAGCUGGGGGAGCAAACAGGAUUAGAUACCCUGGUAGUCCCAGCCCUAAACGGUGUGCACUUGUUGUGGGAGGAAUUGACCCCUCCCGUGACGGAGUUAACACGUUAAGUGCACCGCCUGGGGAGUACGGCCGCAAGGUUAAAACUCAAAGAAAUUGACGGGGGCCCGCACAAGCGGAGGAGCAUGUGGCUUAAUUCGAUGCAACGCGAGGAACCUUACCUGGGCUUGACAUGCAGCUGCAGUCCCGAUGAAAGUCGGGAGGCCUUCGAGGGUGCUGCACAGGUGCUGCAUGGCUGUCGUCAGUUCGUGCCGUGAGGUGUUUGGUUAAGUCCAGCAACGAACGCAACCCCUGUGGCUAGUUGCCAACUUCGAUGAUAAGUCGAGGAGCACUCUAGACAGACUGCCCGUGUAAGCGGGAGGAAGAUGGGGAUGACGUCAAG